UACGGAGGGUGCAAACGUUGCUCGGAAUCAUUGGGCGUAAAGCGCACGUAGGCGGUCGGCUAUGUCGGAUGUGAAAGCCUCGGGCUUAACCCGAGAAGGGCAUCCGAAACUGGCCGGCUUGAGUACGGAAGAGGGUCUCGGAAUUCCCGGUGUAGAGGUGAAAUUCGUAGAUAUCGGGAGGAACACCAGUGGCGAAGGCGGAGACCUGGGCCGAUACUGACGCUGAGGAGCGAAAGCGUGGGGAGCGAACAGG
Molecule: ribosomal RNA, 253 nt
Filed under: uncultured bacterium
Lineage: Bacteria
Description: partial 16S ribosomal RNA
Rfam family: Bacterial small subunit ribosomal RNA
Source: RNAcentral